RNAcentral lists this ribosomal RNA (477 nucleotides) under uncultured bacterium. RNAcentral describes it as "partial 16S ribosomal RNA". It matches the Rfam family "Bacterial small subunit ribosomal RNA", at positions 28 to 506 of the family's 1533-position model. The record is from RNAcentral.
GAUGAACGCUGGCGGCGGGCUUAACACAUGCAAGUCGAACGGGAAUUAUGUUAUUGAAACUUCGGUCGAUUUACUUUAAUUCUAGUGGCGGACGGGUGAGUAACGCGUGGGUAACCUGCCUUAUACAGGGGGAUAACAGUCAGAAAUGGCUGCUAAUACCGCAUAAGCGCACAGAGCUGCAUGUCUCAGCGUGAAAAACUCCGGUGGCAUAAGAUGGACCCGCGUUGCGAUAGCGUGUUGGCAGGGUAACGGCCUACCAAGGAGACGAUCCAUAGCUGGACUGAGAGGGCGGACCGGCACACUAGGAGAGAGACAAGGGCCGAACACCUACCGAAGGGAGCAGUGGUGAAUCAUGCACACUGGGUGAAAGCCUGAGGCAGCGACGCUGCGAGAAGGAAUAAGUAGGUAAGAAUGUAAACAGCUAAAAGCAGGGAAGAUCGGGACGGUACCAGACUAAGAGGCCCCGGUUAACUAGGU